This is a non-coding RNA of Paramormyrops kingsleyae, 564 nucleotides long. The record is from RefSeq and is a predicted model, not a curated record. Lineage: Eukaryota; Metazoa; Chordata; Actinopteri; Osteoglossiformes; Mormyridae.
CAUGGAUCACGGACCCGGAGAAGAAGCUAAUAGCCUUUCUAGCAGAGCCGUGCUAAAGUCUCCCUGCGCUAAAAUCAUUCUCCUGGGAAUCAAUGGGCUCAUUCUUCUGCUGGCCGCCGUUUGGUCCACGGUUCUACACUCCCUGUGAAACAGCAGACAGUCAUGGGGAAACAUAAAACAUAAUACUGGUGUGACCAACUUGUCACUGACUCUUCGGGGGACGUGUGCAGAUAUUGCUGAUGAAAGAAGAAUCAGUGGGAGAUUAAGGGGUGACAGCCUCCGCAUCCAGACCGGAUCUCCCGCGGGGGGGUCAUUCAGAUGCUGCGCGGAGCGAGGCUAAAAUCCUACGGCGCCCCAUUGAAUCCACGUCCAUUUCCGCUUUGACAGCUUCCGCGUUUGAUACUUCCUGUCUGUAAAUGAAAGUGAAAGCGAUUUAAAACUGGAGUCGCCAUUUUGUCAAGAAACACGAAUAAGAUUCUGGAAAAAUAAAAAGAUAUUCUUAUUGCCAGAAGCCCCAGCAGGAAUCAUCUGGUCUGGAUCGGCACUAAAAUGGUAAAGAAGAGA